AUUGAACGCUGGCGGCAGGCCUAACACAUGCAAGUCGAGCGGAUGAAGGGAGCUUGCUCCUGGAUUCAGCGGCGGACGGGUGAGUAAUGCCUAGGAAUCUGCCUGGUAGUGGGGGAUAACGUCCGGAAACGGGCGCUAAUACCGCAUACGUCCUGAGGGAGAAAGUGGGGGAUCUUCGGACCUCACGCUAUCAGAUGAUCCUAGGUCGGAUUAGCUAGUUGGUGGGGUAAAGGCCUACCAAGGCGACGAUCCGUAACUGGUCUGAGAGGAUGAUCAGUCACACUGGAACUGAGACACGGUCCAGACUCCUACGGGGGGCAGCAGUGGGGAAUAUUGGAGAAUGGGCGAAAGCCUGAUCCAGCCAUGCCGCGUGUGUGAAGAAGGUCUUCGGAUUGUAAAGCACUUUAAGUUGGGAGGAAGGGCAGUAAGUUAAUACCUUGCUGUUUUGACGUUACCAACAGAAUAAGCACCGGCUAACUUCGUG
RNAcentral lists this ribosomal RNA (484 nucleotides) under uncultured bacterium. Its description in RNAcentral is "partial 16S ribosomal RNA". It matches the Rfam family "Bacterial small subunit ribosomal RNA", at positions 30 to 507 of the family's 1533-position model. The record is from RNAcentral.